This is a long non-coding RNA of Ailuropoda melanoleuca (giant panda), 7854 nucleotides long. RefSeq lists it as uncharacterized. The record is from RefSeq and is a predicted model, not a curated record. NCBI's taxonomy places the organism in Eukaryota, Metazoa, Chordata, Mammalia, Carnivora, Ursidae. The transcript is spliced from 3 exons.
CGGGAGCCCAACUCGGGGCUCGAUCCCAGGACCUUGAGAUCAUGACCUGAGCCAAAGGCAGGUGCUCAACCAAUUGAGCCACCCAGGCACCCCUAUAUACUAUAUUCUGUACAAUAAAGUAAGCUGUAGAAAAUGUUACCAAGGAAAUUGUAAGGAAAAUGUAUUUAUAAUACUGUACUAUAAAAAAUAUCUGUGUAAGUAGACCCAAGCAGUUCAAAUCUGUGUGGUUCAAGGGUCAACCGUGUGUGUGUGUGUGUGUGUAUACAAAAGGGAUUUAUUAUAAUGCAUUAACUCACAGGAUUAUCGAAGCUGGAAAGUAGACUGUCCAAGUCCAUGUCUCAGUUUGAGUCCAGGGGCCAGAACUGCUGUAGAACCAGGAAGAGCUGAUGUCCUAGCUCGAAGGCCAUGAGGCAGGAAAAUUCUGUCUUACUAGGGCCAUGUCAGCCUUUUGUUCCAUUCAGGCCUUCAACUGAUUGAGUGAGACCCACCCACAUAAGGGAGAGCAAUCUGCUUUAUGCAAGUGCCCUGAUUAAAAUGCUAAUCUCGUGCAGAAACACCUAGAAUAAUGUUGGACCAAUUCUCUGGGCACCCCGUGGCCCUAUGAGAUUGACACUAAAUUUAAUCAUCACAAGAAAGCUGUUGCUUUCUCAGGAAGCACACAGUCCUGGGCUGGGAGCUGUAUGUUGUUUCACACGUAUUGGAAGCUGACCUCAGGUCAGAGCUGGAACAUCAUUUUGUAGUUUGAUGCCACUCUGCUCUUGCGUUCUGCUAAUGCACCCUCUUACCAUGUUUUGUACGUGCUUUUUUUACUGGUCGCUGGUCAACAGCCUCUUGUGCCAUAGGAAUUGCUCCAAAUUUCCUCAUUUUUCAAGAUCUUUUCCUAACUCCUGCCUCUUUGCUCUCUGUGUGAGAUCUGGCCUCUUCUUUCACAGACGGGAGAAACUGAGACUUAGGUCUGUUACUUCGCCCAAAGUCACAGGGCUACUGUAUGGGCAAACUGGGAUGGAAUUUGAAGCAAUGGGCCUUGUCCUGGGAGCGCCAGGCUUCAUGCCAUGCUAAAUGCCCUUGUUUCCCCAACAUCUCUAACCUUGAUGCCUCUGUCCUUCCCAUUUCUGGGAGGAUGUGUCCUGUUCCAAGCAUUGUUCCCUGGCCCUCCGCACGCGGCACUGCUCAGAUCUCACUGUCCGGUGCAGCUCUGUAGUGCGUGGGUCUCUGGCACUCUGCUCCUAUAAUUUUCUUUCCUGUUUAUUUGUCCCCUUUGUAUUUGUGGUAUAAGAACAUAAUUCUGCUCUUUCAUCCUUAAAAACUCUCCCUUGACCCUGUGUCCCUCUAGAGUUACUACUGAUCCCUUCUCUUCCUUUUACUCCCCAUUCUUUAUUUUUAGCUCCGAGUAAGUGCUCACCUGCUGAGACCCAAGCUGCUGCUACUUCCCCCCCUCCCCGUCCACUGACACUGUUCUUGGCAAAGCCAUGGGAAGCAUCCUGUUCGAUCACGUGUCGUGGCUGCGCUGCCUGACUCCGCUGCAUCUGUCACUGCUGACCACCUCUUCCCCCAGGAACUAGCGUCCCUUCUCUGCUCUUGCGCAGCCUCCCCCACCUUCUGUCCAGCCCCUGUACCUGGAAGGAUGUUUGGUUCCACCCAGUCACUGGAACAACCACGACAACCCCCACCCCCCGGACAUUUCCAUAUGCCCCCGGGGUGUGGUGCUGUCCCUGGUUGAGAAGCACUAGGCCCCACCCUGCACCUCCUGUAUCCUAGCGCACCCUAGUCAGUCAAGCGGAGACCUUGCUCUUCCGCCUCAACCUUCCUCCCUUUGAAUUGGUUACCAAAUUCCAUCCAUUUAUUUCUAAAAUAGCUCUUAAUUCUGCUCCUACUUCUGUAGUUAAAAUAACAGGCUUUAACAUCUGACUCCUUGACAGGGGUUCAAAUGAAAAUCCUAAUUUGUCCAUUUAGUAGCUGUGUGACCUUAGGCAAGCUAACUAACCUCUCUGAGUCUGUCUCUUCAAUCCAUAAAAAGAAGAUAACUCCUUCAUAGGGUUAUUGUGAGUACUAAGCACUUUUCUCUGACACAGACGGGGCACUCAGCAAAUAACGGCUCUCCCUGUGGGCCUGGUAAUUUCUGCCUUAGACCAGUGCAGGGGCCCCUGCCUGCCUCCAGUCUCUGUGCCCUAGCCCUUGCUGGGUGCUGCCCAAGGAGCUUUUACAAAUGUAGCCUGGCCAGGCCACACUCUGCUUGGGAAUCUUCAUGGAUCCCAUUGCACAUACAGUUAAACUCAGCAUGGCCUACAAAGCUCUUUGGAAAUACGACUCCAGCCCUGUUUUCCAGCCUUACUCAUGUCUGUCAGCCUGCUCCCUCCACUCACCACCUCCCCCGUCCCCCCACCCUCCAGCUUGAGUUCUCUCUCUCUCUCUGAAGGAGUCACUGCCCCCACCCCUUUCACGUCCCCAUGUUUCUCCUUUGCCUAGGAAGGUCCUGCUUCUUCUAGGCCAGCUCGAAUACCCCUUUCUCUUUCUCUGUGAAGUCUUUUCUCUGUGUCUCCUUUGGCCCUGGGCUCCCACUGUGGGAUGUGUGUGCCUCUAUUUUGGCGUGUGUGUUGUCUUUAGCUGAUUUCCAGUUUCUCCUUCACUUGCUGAGUGUGAUGUGGUGGAAGGAGCACAGGAUCUUUCCCACGACACACACCUUGGGCUGCAUCCUGACUCAGCCGCUGUGGAGGCGUGUGACACUGGCACGUAGCCCCUUUGUUCAGGAGUCGUGUUUGGGUUCUCCUGUCUGUCUGUCUGGGUCAGAUGAGAUUACAUCAUUAAGGCACCUGAUACAGUUCUCAGUGGGGAAUCAUUUGGCAAAACACCCCUGGGGGCUGUCUCCACUGCCCUUAGGCCUUUCCCGUCCCAGAGUCACUAGCCAAGGCCGUUCUAAUUGUAUUAGUUUUCUGUUGCUGCCAUAACCAGUUACUGCAAACUCAGUAGUUUUGACAACACAAGUUGAUCAUCUUAACAGUUCGGUAGGUCUAAAGUUGGAUACAGCCUCACCCGAUAAAAGCAAAAUGUUGGCAGGGCUGUGUCCUGGAGGCUCUAGGGGGUAGUCACUUUCCUUGCUCGAUUUAGGUUGUUGGCAGAAUUUACUUCCACGAGGUUUUAAGACUGAGGUUCCUGUUUGCUUGCUGGCUGUUGGCUCAGGGCCACCCUGAGCAGAUAGCAGACUGUCUCUGUCCCAGAGUGGGGCUCCCUAGGGCUCAGCUCCAGCCACGGGACAUCACAUCUUCUCGCUCCACUCCCGCCGACUCAUCCAUCCAUAAAGGCCCUUUUGUCAUAUAAGAUAACAUACCCUCAGGUCCCAGAGACUACGGCGUAGGCAUUUUGAGGGACCCUUUUCUGCCUGCGACACCCAUCAUCCCUCUGAACUCUCUGAAGUAACACUGUGAAUGUUACUCCCUUUCUUGAUGAUCCUGUGGUCAUCUCUUCCAAAGAAUCCUUUGUUUCUGCAAUACCACACAGCUCUUGCACACGGUGAGCGAGGCGGUUGUUGGUUGUUUUUGGCAGCCCAGAUCUAGGUAAUGGUACCCCAAUCCUCCAGCCCCUAUUCUCAGUGUAUGUGAGGUGGUGCUGAGCCGGCUGGCCAGCUCAGGGGUGGCGGGCCCUGACGGCACAGCUUAAGAGUGAUUAGGCCAGGGAUGGGGACCUGCCCCACCCCAGGCCCCCGAGACAUUGACCUGGGACUUUUGCUGGAACUCUUAGACAAGAGGUCUUUCUCCUUCCAGUGGGACAGACAACAGGAUAGAAUGGCAGCCCAGAGUUGGAGGUGGUUAUCUUGACAUCACCAGGAGAGGGAGGAGCCUGCCAGAGAAUGAGGCCAACCUGGAAAAUCAAAGCAGACCGAAAAAAUGGAAACCGAUAGGUUUCUGCUGACCUAGUUUGAGCCCCUGGAUUUAGAAUUUUCGGAAGCCUGAUGUGCACCUGGACUUUUAAGUUAUAACAUACCGAUAAAUUCCCUUUCUUUGCCUUAGCAGGGUUCAGUUGGGUUUGUGACGACGGUGUGUCCUGACUAUAACGGUGAGCGAGGGUGGAAUUCAGAGCUGAUGCGUUCGGAUAAUGGAGCUCUCUCUUUCAGGUCUUCACUGAGAUUUUGUGGAAGGACCUUAUACUCCUGGUGCUUCUUGUUAUUAUUUCUCCAGAGUUUAUCUGAGGAUCCUCGGCUCCUACAACUUAGUGGAAGGACUUCUUUUUAGGGACACCUCUAGUUUCAGUAGUUGUUUAUUCAUUUUUUGUUAAUUUUUAAUUUUAAAUGAGUCGUUCUGUGCCAAGCUGCAGUAAGAAGGUGUGUCUGCUUCUAGGGAGAUGUUGGCAGGACGGUGAAGAGCUGUACCCCUGGGACAGGGCAGGCUUUGGGCGAGGGCUGCAACACCCAGCACGAGGAGGAAGGAGCCCUGCCCGCUCCCCCUCCUGCCUGUUGCCCGGGCAGUCUGCUAACCAGGCCCAGUGCUCACAGACCUAGAAGGAAACUCAGCACAAAGAUAUGCCUACAGCCGGGAAUCCCCCCGACAUUUGAGAAAAACCAACCUGCUGAACAGGAGGGAGGCACUCAACUGAACAAACAAGAAGAUAACAUGGAAGGAAAUAUGAAUCAGAUAAGUAGAGUAAGACUUGUUGAAAAAAAUAUAUGAAGAUUCAUGUUUAUAGACAAAAAGCUGGGCAUCCCAGGAAUUAUUAAAUGUUAAAAGAUGUUGAUUGCUUUCUAAGAAAUGAUUUACUCUCAAUCCAACUGAACAUUUUAACGAAUCUUCCAAAAGCAUGUUAAUAUAAUGUGCUUAGCAUGGUGGUUUGCACAUAUACUCAGUAGAUGUUGGCUAUUAUUCAAGUUAAUAAAUGAAAAAAAAAAGCAAGCUGAAAAACAAUAUUAUAAUAUGUGACUAUUUAUAUUAUUAAAACAGAGAGCAAAACGCCCACCUUUCUAUACAGACCUAUGUGUGUGUAAAUGCCUAGGAAAGGCCUGGAAAGAGUCUCUGCUGGGGAGGCCCAGAGUGGGGAGUGAGGAGUGGUCCGCAAACAUUUUUACUUUAGCUGGAUGCUGGUGCACAUUUUUUAUAGUGAGACCGUAUUCAAGAGCAGCAUUAUUUUAAUUAACACAGAUUUUUUUUUUAAGUAAAGGAAGAAGUAAUAAAAUUGCACGAAGCCUGCUAUUAUAAUCUUGUCUAUAACAUGGGGCUUUUUUAAUUCCCUUAGCCCCAGUAUUAUAAGUGACUUUUAAAAUAUCUUUUGUGUUAAUCCUUGUUAAUGUAUAAUCACCAUUUGAUCCAGUGUUUUUGAGAUUCAGGCCAAGGUCCAUCAGAGGGUGAUGAACCCAGUGUUAGAGCGGUUCAAUCAGCACUUUCUUUAAAAAGAAAGAAAGAAAAUAGAAAACAAAAACAACCGAGCAGAACAGAAUAGGAUAAAAUAAAAAAAAAACAUUAGUAUGCUUCACAAGUUGUAAGAGUAAAUACUGUUUUGUGAAACUUUGUGAUGUGAAAUUUAUUUCUUGCUGUGGCUUGUGGCCCUAAAAGUUUGAAAAAACACUAAUCUAAUUCACUUUCUUCCUGUGAGGCUGCUGAACGAAACUGAAUUUUUUCCUUUCCUGUAUUUGCAGAAUACAUUAUCUUGAAUAAUUAAACACUAAAAGCAAACAAACACCAUUUCCUCAAUAGAUUCAACUUUGAAAUGCAGAACCGACAGCAGCUGUAACCGAUGCAGGACCUUCGUCGGCUCCGUCUAAGUGCUCAUUAGCACCGUCCAAGAAUCACUCCAGUGUUUGGACUCUUCCCUUUUCAUAAAAAAGGAAAUACAGCUAGACAUAGAUGAUCACGUUAUUUGAACCUGUUUUUACUCAUCAAAACAGUGCUUCUGCUGUUUGGCCCUAAGAAACGACAGAUUUGUUACUUACAGCCGAGAGUGUUGUAACAAGAAGUCAACGAGAAGGACAUCCAAUGAGCUCCCCAGCCCUGGUGGUGUUUGGUGCCCACUGGGUAGAGGCUGAGGAUGGUGACUUAAUUCCUCAACCAAAGGCCCUGUCAGGUAUAAGGGCCCCAUGUCUUGGGUUCUUCCUCUUAUUCCUGUUGCCCUCCUACUCUGCCCCCAACAGCCUGGGAAAUCUUUUUCUUAUCUGAGUAUAUAAAAAUCUGGCCCAUGUUCAUCCUAAUUUUUCUGUGAUCUGAAUUUUCUCAGGGCCUAGGCUUUUAAAGCUAAAACUAUUCCUUUAUUCUCCUUCUACUGUAGCAUUUUUCAAUUUACAAAACAGUCUAGAUGCUUAAGUGGGGAAAAAAACCUGUGAGAGGGCGUGUAUGUGUUGUCGUGGAGGGCAGAGCUGGGGUAGACGGAGGUGGUGGGGAUGGUGGAGAGGAUAAGGCUGGUAGAAGAAGGGAAAAAAACAGAAAACAGUAUCAGUUAAUAUUUUAAGCCUUGUAUCCAUUUAAAAAACUCUAGCCUGUUAGAGAUGCUUGUCAUAAACCCUCAUAGUAUUAAUAUUUCAAGGAGGAGAUGGGUAAAAAAAAUCAAGAAUAACAUUUUAAAACAUUUCAACUUUGUUCCUUUGUGAUCUGUCAAAAAGGCAAAGCCACCUUCAUAUCCGAUACAUAAUCUUCAUCUUUUUGGAAGUAUUUUCAGAGCCAAGAUCUAGGUGCUAGGAAUAUAGCAGUUACAGAAAGAAGUUUCUGCCCUCAAGGAGUUUACGUUUUAGAGGGGGAAGACAGACCCCAAGCAAAUAAAGGAAAACGGAGUCUAAGAGGAUGAUAGCACGAUGGAGAUGGAGGGGGGUGGAUUUGUAGUUUUCAGUAGGGGGUCAGGGCUCCUGAGAGAGAGAUGUGAACAAAGACGAUGAUGGAGGCAGCCAGGCAUACAGAUACCCGGGGUGGGAACGUCCCAGCAGAGGGAACAGCUCAGGCAGGAGGUGGCUCAGCACGGAGGAAAACAGCUCAGGUCAGUGUGGCUGCAAUGGAGUGAACAAGGGUGAAACUAGGAACAGACCAAGUUCCAGAGCUCACAGGCAGCCAGACUGGGGAGGACCCUGCCUCGGACCAGGGAAGCUUAGCGCCUCUUCACCGAUGCCCUUCUGAGUGCCUGGCUGGCAGAUGCCGCGUCCUGCAAUCAAUUGUAGGAGGUCCGCCCCUGCCUCUGGCUUUGUUCUAUACCCCCCGUACACAGUAAAGCGGAGGAGGACUGCUUUUAAAAUUACCUGCAAGUCAUACAGCCAAUGGGUAUGGAUAUCUGGAAGAUCCUGAAAAUUCAAAAGGCAUUCCCUCACAUACCAGGCAAUGGAAUUUUGUUUGGCUUCACUCUUUGUACAAAAUGGUACAUUUUUGUCAGUGACAUUUCCCCCUCCACAAAGUCAACAGUGACAUUGAAUGUUUGGGGCUGUUUUAAAGGAAACCGAAAUUUGCAUUUUAAAAACUUGGUAAAAUAACAUUUGAUCAGAACUGUACAUUUAUCAUUAUUUUAAAAGUGCACCACAUCGCUUGGCCUCUCCCUAAGCAUUGAUACAGCGUCUGUUACCUAAGCGAGCUUGCCUUCGGGUAACUUUUCUCCCUCCCAGGGGAACAGAUUAGCAGGUAACCCUGCUGCCUUCUACCUGGUUCGUUUCUCCCUUUGCUUUUUUUCUCCUUGGGCCUUUCUUUUGGGCAUGUCAGUGGCAGCUGGGGGCUUUGACUGAAGAAGAUGGGCUCAGGGCUGGGUGGGGGGCUCAUUCUGGGGAAUCAUGUAAGUUUUAUAGCACUGAGAGAAGCUAGAGUUCCCUUUCCUUCUUUUUUUCUUUCUUUCUUCCUUCCUUCCUUUCUUUUUUUCUUUCUUUCUCUCUCACUUUCUUUUUUAAAGAUUUUAUUUAUUUAAGGG